ACGGAGGGUGCAAGCGUUGUCCGGAUUUAUUGGGUUUAAAGGGUGCGUAGGCGGAUUGUUAAGUCAGUGGUGAAAGUCUACGGCUCAACCGUAGAAGUGCCAUUGAUACUGGCAGUCUUGAGUACAGUAGAGGUAGGCGGAAUUUAUGGUGUAGCGGUGAAAUGCAUAGAUACCAUAAAGAACACCUAUAGCGAAGGCAGCUUACUAUGCUGUAACUGACGCUGAGGCACGAAAGCGUGGGGAGCGAACAGG
RNAcentral lists this ribosomal RNA (252 nucleotides) under uncultured bacterium. Its description in RNAcentral is "partial 16S ribosomal RNA". It matches the Rfam family "Bacterial small subunit ribosomal RNA", at positions 525 to 776 of the family's 1533-position model. The record is from RNAcentral.